GUCUUAGUUCGGAUUGUAGGCUGCAACCCGCCUACAUGAAGUCGGAAUUGCUAGUAAUCGCGGAUCAGCAUGCCGCGGUGAAUACGUUCCCGGGCCUUGUACACACCGCCCGUCACACCAUGGGAGUUGGAAAUACCCGAAGCCUGUGAGCUAACAGUAAUGAGGCAGCAGUCGAAGGUAGAGCCAAUGAUUGGGGUGAAGUCGUAACAAGGUACC
Molecule: ribosomal RNA, 216 nt
Filed under: uncultured bacterium
Lineage: Bacteria
Description: partial 16S ribosomal RNA
Rfam family: Bacterial small subunit ribosomal RNA
Source: RNAcentral